CUGACAUCUGGGCUGAGCUGAAGGAGCUGAGAGACAUGGCCAUCAAACACAGUGUGGAGCUGAGCAACAGCAAGAGCAAGAUGAAGAAGCUGGAGCAGGAGAAUACAGCCAUACAGGCCAGACUGACAGCCAGUGAAAGCAACAAUGCAGUGUUGGAGACCAGAAUGAACACCA
This is a long non-coding RNA of Scomber japonicus (chub mackerel), 174 nucleotides long. RefSeq lists it as uncharacterized. The transcript is spliced from 3 exons. The record is from RefSeq and is a predicted model, not a curated record. Lineage: Eukaryota; Metazoa; Chordata; Actinopteri; Scombriformes; Scombridae.